RNAcentral lists this unclassified non-coding RNA (219 nucleotides) under plant metagenome. RNAcentral's name for it is "partial contains small subunit ribosomal RNA and internal transcribed spacer 1". The stretch from base 1 to 46 matches the Rfam family "Eukaryotic small subunit ribosomal RNA", at positions 1786 to 1831 of the family's 1831-position model. The record is from RNAcentral.
AAGUCGUAACAAGGUUUCCGUAGGUGAACCUGCGGAAGGAUCAUUAAAGAAUCGCCCCGUUUUUGAAAUUGGGUUCAUGAUUCCCUAAAUCCCAGCUGUUUACAUACCUUAGUUGCUUUGGCAGGCCGUGGAAACACCAUGGGCUCCGGCUUAUGCGUGCCUGCCAGAGGAAACAAACUCUGUUUUUAGUGAUGUCUGAGUACUAUAUAAUAGUUAAAA